GUGGGGAAUCUUAGACAAUGGGGGAAACCCUGAUCUAGCCAUGCCGCGUGAGCGAUGAAGGCCUUAGGGUUGUAAAGCUCUUUCAGCUGGGAAGAUAAUGACGGUACCAGCAGAAGAAGCCCCGGCUAACUCCGUGCCAGCAGCCGCGGUAAUACGGAGGGGGCUAGCGUUGUUCGGAAUUACUGGGCGUAAAGCGCACGUAGGCGGAUCAGAAAGUCAGAGGUGACAUCCCAGGGCUCAACCUUGGAACUGCCUUUGAAACUCCUGUUCUUGAGUUCGAGAGAGGUGAGUGGAAUUCCGAGUGUAGAGGUGAAAUUCGUAGAUAUUCGGAGGAACACCAGUGGCGAAGGCGGCUCACUGGCUCGAUACUGACGCUGAGGUGCGAAAGCGUGGGGAGCAAACAGGAUUAGAAACCCUGGUAGUCC
This 425-nucleotide ribosomal RNA is filed under the name uncultured bacterium. RNAcentral's name for it is "partial 16S ribosomal RNA". It matches the Rfam family "Bacterial small subunit ribosomal RNA", at positions 354 to 796 of the family's 1533-position model. The record is from RNAcentral.